RNAcentral lists this ribosomal RNA (490 nucleotides) under uncultured bacterium. RNAcentral's name for it is "partial 16S ribosomal RNA". It matches the Rfam family "Bacterial small subunit ribosomal RNA", at positions 30 to 507 of the family's 1533-position model. The record is from RNAcentral.
AUUGAACGCUGGCGGCAGGCCUAACACAUGCAAGUCGAACGGUAACAGGAAGAGGCUUGCUUCUUUGCUGACGAGUGGCGGACGGGUGAGUAAUGUCUGGGAAACUGCCUGAUGGAGGGGGAUAACUACUGGAAACGGUAGCUAAUACCGCAUAACGUCGCAAGACCAAAGAGGGGGACCUUCGGGCCUCUUGCCAUCGGAUGUGCCCAGAUGGGAUUAGCUAGUAGGUGGGGUAACGGCUCACCUAGGCGACGAUCCCUAGCUGGUCUGAGAGGAUGACCAGCCACACUGGAACUGAGACACGGUCCAGACUCCUACGGGAGGCAGCAGUGGGGAAUAUUGCACAAUGGGCGCAAGCCUGAUGCAGCCAUGCCGCGUGUAUGAAGAAGGCCUUCGGGUUGUAAAGUACUUUCAGCGGGGAGGAAGGGAGUAAAGUUAAUACCUUUGCUCAUUGACGUUACCCGCAGAAGAAGCACCGGCUAACUCCGUG